RNAcentral lists this ribosomal RNA (497 nucleotides) under uncultured bacterium. RNAcentral describes it as "partial 16S ribosomal RNA". It matches the Rfam family "Bacterial small subunit ribosomal RNA", at positions 28 to 507 of the family's 1533-position model. The record is from RNAcentral.
GAUGAACGCUGGCGGCGUGCCUAAUACAUGCAAGUCGAGCGAACGGACGAGAAGCUUGCUUCUCUGAUGUUAGCGGCGGACGGGUGAGUAACACGUGGAUAACCUACCUAUAAGACUGGGAUAACUUCGGGAAACCGGAGCUAAUACCGGAUAAUAUUUUGAACCGCAUGGUUCAAAAGUGAAAGACGGUCUUGCUGUCACUUAUAGAUGGAUCCGCGCUGCAUUAGCUAGUUGGUAAGGUAACGGCUUACCAAGGCAACGAUGCAUAGCCGACCUGAGAGGGUGAUCGGCCACACUGGAACUGAGACACGGUCCAGACUCCUACGGGAGGCAGCAGUAGGGAAUCUUCCGCAAUGGGCGAAAGCCUGACGGAGCAGCGCCGCGUGAGUGAUGAAGGUCUUCGGAUCGUAAAACUCUGUUAUUAGGGAAGAACAUAUGUGUAAGUAACUGUGCACAUCUUGACGGUACCUAAUCAGAAAGCCACGGCUAACUACGUG